CAGCAGCCGCGGUAAUACGAAGGUCCCAGGCGUUGUUCGGAAUCACUGGGCGUAAAGGGUGCGUAGGCGGUUUGGUAAGUCAGAUGUGAAAUCCCGGGGCUCAACCCCGGAACUGCAUCCGAUACUGCCAGACUAGAGGACUGGAGAGGUGACUGGAAUUCUCGGUGUAGCAGUGAAAUGCGUGGAUAUCGAGAGGAACACUCGUGGCGUAAGCGAGUCACUGGACAGUAUCUGACGCUGAGGCACGAAGGCCAAGGUAGCGAAAGGGAUUAGAUACCCCUGUAGUCCUGGCAGUAAACGGUGUGCGCUUGGUGUGAG
Molecule: ribosomal RNA, 318 nt
Filed under: uncultured bacterium
Lineage: Bacteria
Description: bacterial SSU rRNA
Rfam family: Bacterial small subunit ribosomal RNA
Source: RNAcentral